UCUCAAUUAGAUUUUAGAACACUGUUUUGGUAGAUCAAUACUAAUACCUAUCAAACAUGAAUACUUUGACAAGUUCUUAAGACUAAGUACAUAUUUCCUAUUAUGGGCCCGUUCACGACAUUUUUAAAAAACAUCCAGUUGAACAGUGCUUGGGAUCAUUUUAUUUCUAAGUGGGUAAGUGGGAAAGAUGCUAUAUUGAAGGGGAAAUUCUCAGAAAUCUUGAUCUUCUAGUCUUCCUACGAAGCAUAAGCCAUCUGGAAGUCAGAAGGCUCACUUCUCAGGAGGGUAGGGUAUACUUUGCUUUUUUGAAACUGUUAAGUAACACUAGAUUUAUAAACCAUAUGGAGAAUACCUGAGUCUUAAAGCCCACAAUUGUAUCUCCCUCUAUACCCUCCCUGCACUAACCAUUGCUUUAUAAAACAAUACUAUUUCCAGAUCAAUCUGACUUAGUGGUGCUGGUCAUUUUUGUGUAAAACAGCAUCGUAUACAUAAAAUUAUUUAUAUGCCUUGUUGCUCUGGAUCGAACUUUUGUGUUGGAGGUAGCAAAAGCAGGUAUCCUGGUCUUACUUUUAAUCUCAGGAAAAGCUUUCAGUAUUUAACCAUUAUGUCUGCUGUGGGUUUUUAAUAAUGUGGACUUGAGGUAGUUUCCUUCUCUUCCUAGUUUUGUUGUAUUUUGAUUGUUGAAAGGGUCUUGAUCAUGUCACAAUGCCUUUUCUGCAAAAUUAAGAUGACCAUAGUUUCUCCCCUUUCUUUGAAUUCAGAAAUUUCUGAUGUUUGGCAGAAUUUGCUAACCAUUUGGUCCUGAGGGGUCUUUUGAUUAUUGAUCCAGUCUCCUUAGAUUUUUCUGUUUGUGAUUCAGUCUUUGCAGGUUGCAUCCUUCUAGGGAUCUGUGCAACAGGAUUAUCCAAUUUAUUGGCAUACAGUUGUUCAUAGUACUUAUUUUGGAGAUGAAAUCUGGGCUGUCUCUGAACAUAUUACUCUCAUAUAUGAAUCUUGUUUACCUUUGUAGAACUCUAGAGUAAUGUCCUUAUUUUCAUCUGAUUUAUUUGACCUUUUAUCUUUGAAGCAGUUAAUCUGUUUGCUCAUUUUCUUUUUGAAAAAUGAUCAAUAUUUCACCUCAAAGGAACAUUUUGUCUACAGUUUUAUGAAUACACUAUUUGUAUAUUUGAUAAAUUCCUAGGAUAGAAUAUGUAUAUCAAUUUCACUCAAUGCCAAAAUGAGUUCAUUUUUUUGAAUUCUUGAAUACUUUUGUACAUUUUAGCUAACCUGGUGGGUAGUAUUCCUUUUCAGUUGCCAUUUUGGAUUUCUUCUGUCAAGGGCUAAUAAAAAU
Molecule: long non-coding RNA, 1330 nt
Filed under: Marmota monax (woodchuck)
Lineage: Eukaryota; Metazoa; Chordata; Mammalia; Rodentia; Sciuridae
Source: RNAcentral